CUUAUUUUCGAGGAAACAUGGUAUACUGAAAUUGGAAUGAUACAAAGAUUAGUAUGGCCCCUGUGCAAGGAUAACAUGCAAAUUCAGGAAGUGUUCCGCAUUUUU
Molecule: small nuclear RNA, 105 nt
Organism: Rhinolophus ferrumequinum (greater horseshoe bat)
Lineage: Eukaryota; Metazoa; Chordata; Mammalia; Chiroptera; Rhinolophidae
Source: Ensembl